AUCCCAAAUGAACUACUCAUUGUUUAUUUGAUUCAUGGGAGGCAUAUAUUGAUGUUGGGAGUUUGCUGUUAGCACCUUUCUUUUUCCGGGGGUGUUUCAAUAGUACCUUUCCGUACACUU
Nicotiana attenuata is the source of this 120-nucleotide non-coding RNA. The record is from Rfam. Lineage: Eukaryota; Viridiplantae; Streptophyta; Magnoliopsida; Solanales; Solanaceae.